CCUACGGGAGGCAGCAGUGAGGAAUAUUGGUCAAUGGACGAGAGUCUGAACCAGCCAAGUAGCGUGAAGGAUGACUGCCCUAUGGGUUGUAAACUUCUUUUAUAAAGGAAUAAAACGAGGCACGUGUGCCUUUUUGAAUGUACUUUAUGAAUAAGGAUCGGCUAACUCCGUGCCAGCAGCCGCGGUAAUACGGAGGAUCCGAGCGUUAUCCGGAUUUAUUGGGUUUAAAGGGAGCGUAGAUGGGUUGUUAAGUCAGUUGUGAAAGUUUGCGGCUCAACCGUAAAAGUGCAAUUGAUACUGGCAGUCUUGAGUGCAGUUGAGGUAGGCGGAAUUCGUGGUGUAGCGGUGAAAUGCUUAGAUAUCACGAAGAACCCCGAUUGCGAAGGCAGCUUACUAAACUGUGACUGACAUUGAUGCUCGAAAGUGUGGGUAUCAAACAGGAUUAGAUACCCUUGUAGUC
Molecule: ribosomal RNA, 460 nt
Filed under: uncultured bacterium
Lineage: Bacteria
Description: partial 16S ribosomal RNA
Rfam family: Bacterial small subunit ribosomal RNA
Source: RNAcentral